This 300-nucleotide unclassified non-coding RNA is filed under the name Paraglomerales sp. RNAcentral describes it as "partial internal transcribed spacer 2". The stretch from base 1 to 65 matches the Rfam family "5.8S ribosomal RNA", at positions 84 to 154 of the family's 154-position model. Lineage: Eukaryota; Fungi; Glomeromycota; Glomeromycetes; Paraglomerales. The record is from RNAcentral.
GUGAAUCAUCGAAUUUUUGAACGCAAAUUGCGCCUUUUUCUGAAGGCAUGUCUGUUUGAGUUCACGAUUUAACAAACAAUGUGCAGCGAUUUUUGUUGCACACGUUGAUGUGCUUUCCAAGAAUUUUAAAGUUUGGGUGGCGCAUAAUGAACAGCUUGAGAGUUUUUUUCAGUUCUAGUUUAUGAAAAUCUCUGCUUGGGUUGUGAAAAAACAUAAUCGCGCAAUGUGGGUGGCAAUUUCUUUUUAUCCCUGCCCCAAUGCCACUCUUUCUCACGAAAGAAUGUCUAAUCUUCAGGGCCU